RNAcentral lists this ribosomal RNA (646 nucleotides) under Nathalis iole. Its description in RNAcentral is "eukaryotic LSU rRNA". It matches the Rfam family "Eukaryotic large subunit ribosomal RNA", at positions 408 to 919 of the family's 3401-position model. The record is from RNAcentral. Lineage: Eukaryota; Metazoa; Arthropoda; Insecta; Lepidoptera; Pieridae.
UUCAGNGGUUAACCUGCGAAACUCGAAUGNNNNAACGGCGAGAUUCAUCGKCACUCCGCGGCGUACGUGCGCGCGCCCCGGAUGCAGCGCGUGCACGUCGACGUUCGCGGACGGCGUGCACUUCUCGUCUAGUAUACAUCGCGACCCGUUCGCGGCCUAAGCGCGGUCCGUGCAGCCGGGUUGCCGUACGGUAUACGAUGAAUCGCGCACGCGUUUCGACGCGUCAGGCCCGACGCGAGCGGCGCCGUCCUGCCACAGUGCGGACGCCGGCGCGUCGUCGCUGUCGUCGCAGCCGAAGUCGCUGACAGUGCGCGUUUCAGUCUGCGAUGUUGACAGUUUCGGGCACUCGCAGGACCCGUCUUGAAACACGGACCAAGGAGUCUAGCAUGUGUGCGAGUCAUUGGGUUCAAACCUACAGGCGUAACGAAAGUGAAGGUGCGCCGCGCGCUCAGGGAGGAUGGAGGGUCGCCGUCUCGCACUCCCGAGGCGUCUCGUUUCCAAUCAGUGAAUGCAGGCGCGCUCAGAGCACAGAUGCUGGGACCCGAAAGAUGGUGAACUAUGCCUGGUCAGGUCGAAGUCAGGGGAAACCCUGAUGGAGGACCGUAGCGAUUCUGACGUGCAAAUCGAUCGUCGGAAUCUGGGUAUA